This 204-nucleotide ribosomal RNA is filed under the name uncultured bacterium. Its description in RNAcentral is "partial 16S ribosomal RNA". It matches the Rfam family "Bacterial small subunit ribosomal RNA", at positions 327 to 523 of the family's 1533-position model. The record is from RNAcentral.
CGGUCCAGACUCCUACGGGAGGCAGCAGUAGGGAAUCUUCCACAAUGGACGAAAGUCUGAUGGAGCAACGCCGCGUGAGUGAAGAAGGGUUUCGGCUCGUAAAACUCUGUUGUUAAAGAAGAACAUAUCUGAGAGUAACUGUUCAGGUAUUGACGGUAUUUAACCAGAAAGCCACGGCUAACUACGUGCCAGCAGCCGCGGUAC